CGGUGACUCCGAAUCCGACACAGGAUAGGAGUAACGGCUGUUUGGCUCAGCCUUCGGUACGCCUGUUCGACAAAUCCACGGGGCGAGUCGCCCCACAAGAACAGGUUGUCCCGUGAACCCUAAUAUCCCAACGCGGGAAUCCCACGGCUUCAGCCGUGUGG
Molecule: small RNA, 161 nt
Organism: Natronomonas pharaonis DSM 2160
Lineage: Archaea; Methanobacteriati; Methanobacteriota; Halobacteria; Halobacteriales; Natronomonadaceae
Rfam family: Sense overlapping transcript RNA 0042 (sot)
About the family: It is associated with IS1341-type transposase (tnpB) genes, at the 3'-end in H. salinarum NRC-1. The tetraloop structural motif may be functional.
Source: Rfam